CCUACGGGGGGCAGCAGUGAGGAAUAUUGGUCAAUGGCCGCAAGGCUGAACCAGCCAAGCCGCGUGAAGGACGAAGGCGCUAAGCAUUGUAAACUUCUUUUGUCAAGGGACAAAGUGAGGCGCGAGUGCCUUUUCGAGUGUACUUGAAGAAAAAGCAUCGGCUAACUCCGGGCCAGCAGCCGCGGUAAUAUGGAGGGAUCGAGCGUUAACCGGAUUUAUUGGGGUUAAAGGGAUCGUAGCUGGGUCGUUAAGUCAGGUGUAAAAGUCCCGGGCUUAACCCCCGCCGGGCCGUUGAUACUGGCAGUCUUGAGAUGUCGAGAGGUAUGCGGAAUGCGCGGUGUAGCGGUGAAAUGCUUAGAUAUUGCGAAGAACUCCGAUUGCGAAGGCAGCAUAC
Molecule: ribosomal RNA, 394 nt
Filed under: uncultured bacterium
Lineage: Bacteria
Description: partial 16S ribosomal RNA
Rfam family: Bacterial small subunit ribosomal RNA
Source: RNAcentral